UACGAACGCUGGCGGCAUGCCUAACACAUGCAAGUCGAACGAGACCUUCGGGUCUAGUGGCGCACGGGUGCGUAACGCGUGGGAACCCGCCCUUAGGUUCGGAAUAACGCCUCGAAAGGGGUGCUAAUACCGGAUAAUGUCUUCGGACCAAAGAUUUAUCGCCUUUGGAUGGGCCCGCGUUGGAUUAGCUAGUUGGUGGG
This 200-nucleotide ribosomal RNA is filed under the name uncultured bacterium. RNAcentral's name for it is "partial 16S ribosomal RNA". It matches the Rfam family "Bacterial small subunit ribosomal RNA", at positions 29 to 256 of the family's 1533-position model. The record is from RNAcentral.